ACGCAUCUGGAGGCUGAAGUCCUCUAUUUGUUCCUCGAGCAGGUGCAUCACAGGCAGGAGGAAUACAGGUGUCCUCCCACACCUCCUCUCCCCAGGCAUCAACCAUUACAGGUAGGAGGCAACGUCUGGAAGAUCAGAGGUCAUUCAGUCUCUGUGGCCGUUUUUGUGCUUUU
RNAcentral lists this small RNA (173 nucleotides) under Crocodylus porosus (Australian saltwater crocodile). Its description in RNAcentral is "TUC338 (ENSCPRG00005010592.1)". Lineage: Eukaryota; Metazoa; Chordata; Crocodylia; Crocodylidae. The record is from RNAcentral.